This 225-nucleotide long non-coding RNA is filed under the name Homo sapiens (human). RNAcentral describes it as "long non-coding RNA NONHSAT244898". The record is from RNAcentral. Lineage: Eukaryota; Metazoa; Chordata; Mammalia; Primates; Hominidae.
GAGCUGGGCCAGAUGGGCUGGAGGAUGACCCUAUCGGGGGUCUGGGCCCCCCCUCCCCACCUUGAUGCUUGAAGUCUGGCUCUCCCCAGAGAAGGCCCAUCCUGACAGCGUCCUUUGCUGCCUGCCUCUUGGGCCUGGAGUGAGCCCGUCAUCAGGACAGCCUCCCUUGCAGAGCAUUCACCCUGGGCCAAUCGUGCUCUUGAGCUGACAGCCUGAGGAAGGCGG